AUCAAGCUUAAUUCUGCAGUUGAGAUCCAGUUGAGCAGAGGGAGUUAAGCUGCAGUCCCGUGGAAGCAGUGAACACCCUUGGUGAAAACUGUAGACCAGGCCAUUCAUUACAUCAGCUCCAUGACUUCAUCAACAGAUUUGCUUGGGGUACACCCUGGAGAAAAACUUGAUAUAUGCAUAGCUGGCACCUCAAGCCUCCAGAAAUUCUACCCAAGAACAUGGUCACCACGGAUAAGGUCACCAGGUCWACGUCUGUCAAUGUAAGAACAAGGUUCUUUGUCCCCAUAAAGAUUCAUGAGUGCAACAGCAACGUCCUUAAUCCAACCAACUGAAGGAGCAGCUCUUACUCAGAUGGAGUUGAUCAUAUGCUUUUGUUGUCUCAGUGUGCAUCCACUUUGUCUCCUCCUGCUCUGAUGUAUAUGUGACAUGUACUAGAAAAGUACCUAGAAGCAAAAAAUAGGGCUCAGGAAUAUAUUGUAUGGGUGCGAAAUAAAUAAACAAAGAGGUAUCUUYUGCCUAAAAAGCUUAAGAUAUCUUUCUGCUACAGAUAGAUUUCUAGAAUUCUGGUUUGUCACCUUCCACUUUUAUAAUUUCUCUAGGACACAUUCUAGAAAGAUGUUUAAACAUUUCAUUAAGGAUAUCAGAUCUCUGGAGCUCAUGAUGUGAGGURCAAAUCCUGUUGGCUCCAGCCGAAUUUGUCGGUGCAGAGCACCUGCUCCAAUUAAAUCUCUGUUGACUAGUCUUCUCCAUUUCUUUCUUUGUGACCUGGAAUGUGCUGUGUGUGAUGUUCAAU
Nothoprocta perdicaria is the source of this 793-nucleotide long non-coding RNA. RefSeq lists it as uncharacterized. The record is from RefSeq and is a predicted model, not a curated record. NCBI's taxonomy places the organism in Eukaryota, Metazoa, Chordata, Aves, Tinamiformes, Tinamidae. The transcript is spliced from 3 exons.